Molecule: non-coding RNA, 1196 nt
Organism: Microcebus murinus (gray mouse lemur)
Lineage: Eukaryota; Metazoa; Chordata; Mammalia; Primates; Cheirogaleidae
Source: RefSeq, a predicted model, not a curated record
GGUUUCUAUUCACAGGAAAUAUAGCGGAUGGAGAAACAAGGUAAAUGACACCACAGAGAAGCAAGUGGACACACCCUGAUUGUGGGAUUCUGCAGGACAAAGGAUUUCUUCCACAAGGGUGUUUUCUGUUCCAUGUUACCACUGUGGACAACUGGGCUUGGUCCCGCCGGGACCCCUGUGAGGAACCAGGAGGAACGCUCUCAGGAUUGUUCCAGAUAUGUGGUGGUUUGCGACGCCACUGGGAAUGGAAUCCUGAGGACGGCCCAGCCCCUGGGACGCAUGACUGGCUCCAAAAGGCACCUGGGGCAGGAAGUAGAAACCACAGGAUCAUUUCCCCAAAGCCUGUGCAGCAGGCAGCAGGUGGAUCCAGGCGCAGGUCUGGCAGCCAGAGGGGGCGAGAGGCUGAGCUGAAGGAGCUGGCAAGGUCAAGAGGAAAGGCCUUCAGGAUCAGAGAAACCUGACUUUGUCAUCAAAUGCGUCAGGAGCAGGGAGACAGUGAGAUGCUGGGGAUCGGGGCUGAUGCUCAAUGUUAAUACGCUGCAGCUAAAAUGCCUGAUUCCUGCCGCAGAGCGGGCUGUGGCUUUGGAGCCAGGAGACCCAAGUUUGGACCUUGACCCUGUCACUCACUGUCUAAGUUACCCAGCUUCUAGGAAAGCCAGUGUCCUCACCAGCAAAACAAGGGCUCCGUGUCCGGUACUGGAGAUACAGUGAUGAACAAGACAUUCGAGGUACCUGCCUACAUGGAGCUUACAGUCUACUUGGGGGGAACAGACAGGAAGGAAGAUGUACUGAACAUUUGCCAUUCAUCGCUGCUCAACAUUUUUAAAAAUCCCUGUCUACAUGUUGGACUACUCCUGAUAUCUCUGCCAAACCAGCCUCUCUUGCAGCUAGAGUGCAGGCGUGUGGCCUCGGUUUCCCCAAUCACGCUCACCUACCUGAGAUGCCAACUGGGAGAUGAAUUAUGUGUGUGGACACCUGCAUCCUUUUUUGCUGGCCUGGUGGCAGCCGAAGGAACAUGGUUCUGGAGUCAGCCACAGCAGCGACCCCUUCCCCGAGUCCGAUCGGCAGCGUGCUUCUUGGAGAGGCUCCUGAAAGCUGCAUCCAGAGCCUGUUUCUCUAACAUCCCUGAAUAAAUUCCCUUCCUACUUAAACUAGCCAGGGUGGACUCUGUUGUCUACAAACAAGAAUACUAAUCA